This is a long non-coding RNA of Dendronephthya gigantea, 389 nucleotides long. RefSeq lists it as uncharacterized. The record is from RefSeq and is a predicted model, not a curated record. The transcript is spliced from 3 exons. Lineage: Eukaryota; Metazoa; Cnidaria; Anthozoa; Malacalcyonacea; Nephtheidae.
CUUGCCACUAGGGAAAAAGUAUCGCACAAAAAAGAGUCUUUUUACAGUACAAAACAUUGUUAAAUUAGAAAUCUCUCUUUGGGAACGGAAGGAUGUGACAUUUUCAUGCAAUUAUCCAUAUAUACCGCCGGUGAUGGCAAUGCGUAAACGAAAAGUUCCAUAUUCGCCAGGAAAUACGCCGGGAAAACCCGCACAAAAGGAAACAAGAACUUCUCAUGAUGGUUUUACGUUUAAAAGCAAGCGAAGUCUGCUGUUUAGCCCAGGAAAAGAUAUGCCAGUCUAUAAAUCAGAGAUAACAGCUACAUCAGCACCAUGGUCUGACAAAGAACUCUCAGCUUUUGUUCAGUUCGUGGCACUAUACCAUGAUUCCUCUAAGUCUGUUUGGCCAA